This 394-nucleotide ribosomal RNA is filed under the name uncultured bacterium. RNAcentral's name for it is "bacterial SSU rRNA". It matches the Rfam family "Bacterial small subunit ribosomal RNA", at positions 28 to 420 of the family's 1533-position model. The record is from RNAcentral.
GACGAACGCUGGCGGCGUGCUUAACACAUGCAAGUCGAGCGGUAAGGCCCUUUCGGGGGUACGACGAGCGGCGAACGGUGAGUAACACGUGGGUGACCUGCCCUCAGCUCUGGGAUAAAGCCUCGGGAAACCGGGUCUAAUACCGGACUAUGACUCCAUGACGCAUGUUGUGGGGUGGAAAGCCUUGUGCGGCUGAGGAUGGGCCCGCGGCCUAUCAGCUUGUUGGUGGGGUGAUGGCCUACCAAGGCGACGACGGGUAGCCGGCCUGAGAGGGCGACCGGCCACACUGGGACUGAGACACGGCCCAGACUCCUACGGGAGGCAGCAGUGGGGAAUCUUGCGCAAUGGGCGAAAGCCUGACGCAGCGACGCCGCGUGAGGGAUGACGGCCUGUG